GAACGCACAUUGCGCCCCCUGGUAUUCCGGGGGGCACACCUGUUCGAGCGCCAUUUCUACCCUAGAGCCCUGCUCUGUGAUGGGCCCCGUCCUCGCGGACGGGCCCGAAACCCGUGGGCGCCGUCGUCCGGCCCUGAGCGUAGCAAGAGAAAUCCCUCGCUCGGAGUGUCUGAUGGUGGCUGCCCCGACCUAUUUUUACAAGGUUGGCCUCGGAUCAGGUGGGGAUACCCGCUGAACUUAAG
RNAcentral lists this unclassified non-coding RNA (242 nucleotides) under uncultured Venturia. Its description in RNAcentral is "sequence contains 5.8S rRNA gene". Lineage: Eukaryota; Fungi; Ascomycota; Dothideomycetes; Venturiales; Venturiaceae. The record is from RNAcentral.